UCGUGUAUCGGGACAUCAGAAUUUUUCGUACCUUUUGUGUGUAUCGGUCUUCAGAAAUACCAAAUAACUAAAAAUAUUCUUCAUUCUAAAAAAGCUAAAAAUAAAAACAAUUAGUGGGUUCAAUUUUUUUUCCAAGGAGAGAGUAAAGUGCCUCGGCCACCAAACAAGAAUGACAUACAGUUGAGAAACAUAAAUUUGACCCCUUAUUCGGUGUGAUUGGCCCUAGCCCACCGGCGGUUGCUCUUCUACCGGCGGCUCAUUCAGGGAAAGUUUGAAUUUAUCAUUCUGUAAUGGAUUCUUCACCCGAAGCAGAAUAUGCUGCGUUUGAAAAGAAGGUGAAGUGGACUGUUUAUAUUGACAGCCUCUCACCACAGGUCACUGAAGCUGUUAUUAAAACUGCUUUAAAUCAGUUUGGAAACGUGACAAAUGUUCAGUUCAUCCCAAACUACAUGAAAACACCGAAUAUGCCAUGUUGUGCUCUGGUAGAGUUGGAAAAUGCAAAGCAGGCCAGAGAAAUUGUCCUAGAGAUGGCCAAUUUCUCAUUCAUGGUGUCUGGGAUGCCAAGGCCUGUGGGGGUACGUGCUGCUGAAGUGGAGAUGUUUGACGAUCGCCUAAGAAGCACGGACACGGAUACGGGACACGGAUACGACACGACACAGACACGGCGACACGGCAAAUCCAAAAAAAUUAGGACACGGACACGGCGAAUAGUGUAUAUAUAUAUAUAUAUAUCAGCAUUAAUAAUUUAAAAAAAAAAUGAUAUGUUUAGGUUGGAAUAUAUAUAUAUAUCACUGAUAUGUUAGUAUAUAUAUAUAUCAGCAUCUUUAGGACACGGACACGGCGAAUUGUGGCAUCUUUAGGUUAGUAUAUAUAUAUAUAUCAACAUCUUUAGGGUAGUACAAAACAAAAAAUAGAACAUAUCAGCAUUAAAAAAAAAAAAAAAAAAAAAAAAAAAAAAAAAAAUUAACAUAUCAGAAUUAAAAAUUUAAAAAAAAAAAAAAAAAUUCCAGAAAAGUGUGUCCGAGCCGUGUCUGAGCCGUGUCCGAGCUGUCUGAGCCGUGUCCGAGCCGUGUCUGAGCUGUCUGAGCCGUGUCCGUGGCGUGUCCCAGCCGUGUCCGAAAAUUAAAAAAAAAAAAAAAAAUUUCCAGACACGUUUUUUGGCGUGUCCGACACGUGUCGGGGCAUGUCCGACGCGUGUCCGUGUCCGACACGCGUCGGACACGGAUUCUUCGCCCAUUUUGGAGUGUCCGUGCUUCCUAGACGAUCGCCCAAGAAAGCCUGGUAGAAACAUACAUUGUUGUUGGUUGGACUCGAAUGAUCCUGACUAUGAGGGGGCAAAGAAACUUAAGCAUCUGACUAGAAAACAUGCUGCUGAAGCUUCAUUUCUGCACUAGCAACUACUAGCAGAGGAAGAGAAUCUGGCAGAUAAGCAGGGAAAGCCCCUUAAAGCAAAUUAUAAGAAGUAUGACCUGAUUGAGCGUGUGUUAGUUGAUGGAACUGUCAACCGGUUGACGGAGCAUUAUAAUGCGAACAACAAUUUAGAUGCUUGAUGGGUCUCUGUUUCUCUUUGUAGAUUGUUGGAAGCUGCAAAAUUUGUAUGGAACUGAGAGGCAUGAUGGAGACUCGUGUGCUUUAACCAAAGGCUACUUUUCCUUUGUCCAACAAUCAAACUUUAGCAUGUUAGAAAAAUGUUUUCAUAAUGCAUAGUAAGUAUCCAUCUCAGGAAGCUGGAUCGAACAAAGUAAACCGUUUAAAGAUGAAGGAUCUGCUUAUGCCCUAAUUCCAGCAGCAUCUGAUUAUGGACGUUAUUGUAGUUUGAAUUUUGAA
Cornus florida is the source of this 1827-nucleotide long non-coding RNA. RefSeq lists it as uncharacterized. Lineage: Eukaryota; Viridiplantae; Streptophyta; Magnoliopsida; Cornales; Cornaceae. The transcript is spliced from 4 exons. The record is from RefSeq and is a predicted model, not a curated record.